RNAcentral lists this non-coding RNA (103 nucleotides) under Solibacillus silvestris. RNAcentral's name for it is "SAM-I sequence". It matches the Rfam family "SAM riboswitch aptamer (S box leader)". From Rfam's summary of the family: The SAM riboswitch is found upstream of a number of genes which code for proteins involved in methionine or cysteine biosynthesis in Gram-positive bacteria. The SAM riboswitch acts at the level of transcription termination control. Lineage: Bacteria; Bacillati; Bacillota; Bacilli; Caryophanales; Caryophanaceae. The record is from RNAcentral. RNAcentral also lists the same sequence under 1 other name.
CUCUUAUAAAGAGAGGUGGAGGGAAGUGCCCUAUGAAGCCCGGCAACCAGCGAUUACGCAAAGGUGCCAAUUCACACAAAGUGUAAACUUUGAAAGAUGAGAG